RNAcentral lists this ribosomal RNA (411 nucleotides) under Actinomycetes bacterium. RNAcentral's name for it is "Actinobacteria bacterium partial 16S ribosomal RNA". It matches the Rfam family "Bacterial small subunit ribosomal RNA", at positions 355 to 776 of the family's 1533-position model. The record is from RNAcentral. Lineage: Bacteria; Bacillati; Actinomycetota; Actinomycetes.
UGGGGAAUAUUGCACAAUGGGCGCAAGCCUGAUGCAGCGACGCCGCGUGGGGGAAGACGGCCUUCGGGUUGUAAACUCCUUUCGCUAGGGACGAAGCUUUUUGUGACGGUACCUAGAUAAGAAGCACCGGCUAACUACGUGCCAGCAGCCGCGGUAAUACGUAGGGUGCGAGCGUUGUCCGGAAUUACUGGGCGUAAAGGGCUCGUAGGUGGUUUGUCGCGUCGUCUGUGAAAUUCCGGGGCUUAACUCCGGGCGUGCAGGCGAUACGGGCAUAACUUGAGUACUGUAGGGGUAACUGGAAUUCCUGGUGUAGCGGUGAAAUGCGCAGAUAUCAGGAGGAACACCGAUGGCGAAGGCAGGUUACUGGGCAGUUACUGACGCUGAGGAGCGAAAGCAUGGGUAGCGAACAGG